UGGCCAGCUGUGGUCAAACAAGAGUUAUUGGACUCAAUUCUGAAAUUCAACUGUGGCCUCGGAAUCGGGAGGAACUACAAUCUCUGUCUAAUGCCAGAAGACCGAUUCAUUCAUUCAGACAUUUGUUGAUCCUCACCAACAUCUUUUCCCUCAAGGUCACUGUUGUCUGUGGAGAGGAGCGAGUGGAAAGAGGAGGAGGAGGAGGAGACAGGACGAGAGGGAGAUCAAGCACACCUCUCCUGGAAGUGCGCCGAGGGGAUCAGCGCGGCGCGCAGGUUGCAGUCGCCCACUUUCUUGGCCUGCCACCAAGUGGCGUCUUCCUGGCUCACCACCUGAAGGAUGUCGCCGCGUUUAAAAGGAAGCCCCGCCUCCUGACAGGGCGUAGCUCGGUCCUCAAGGGGCACGUAGUCAAACAAAGCCCCUUGUCUUCUUCGAUGACGGCUGGGAUGAUUUUCAAUGUGAUGGAGCCUUGCGACUUGGACUGGUGUUAAAAGACAUCACGGCGUCAAGCAGCGCUUUCGUCUCUGAAUUGAAACCGGUGAAAAUGUGACAUUUACCAGAAUGUGACUUAUUUCAUCCGGCCUUUUGUGGCUUAUCAGGCUGCCAUUGAGCUCCCGCAACUCGUCCCCCACGUGCACCAGACCUGGCAACGCCAACACGGACGACAUCGUGUGAAGCACGAAAGCAUGAAGUUGAUGACAUCUCCAUGGCAACAUCCAGCCAGCCCUGUUUGAAGCCUCCAAAUAUGCAAUCUCGUGGCACUAAUCUGGAGGAUUUAAUCUCUGUUGACAGUUUGCAACGCAUUACACAACGUAAUCUCCUCACUUGUGUGUCAGAGCUGACAAGGAAGUCCACUUGUUGCAAAGUAAAAACCCCCCAAAAAGGCAAAAGCACCUCUCACCACUACGGUGGGCCGCUCCUCCCCUCAUGAUCCGCGCCACGAUGACUGCGCCGGUUGCCUCGUCUCGCCUGAUGGUCGCACCCUGGAUGGAGGAAAUGAAGUAAACAUCCAUCCGACUCCAACAAUGAAUGGAAUUCAAAGCAACGUGGCCAAAUCUUCAUCCCACCAGAGGCUCCUUGUGCUUCACCAGUCGGACGAUCUUCACCGACUCCUCCUCUGGCUCGUUCUCCACAUCUUCUGGCAAGGGAGGCAGCACCGGGUCAAAAUUCUUCUGGGCCACCGUGUCGUGGGUCGACAGCAUAGCCUGUGAAGAGAGGCAGGUUUGCAUUCAUCAAAAGAGGACAUUCUUUUUUUGUAAUUGUCUACCUUGAUGUGAGGGGCAUUCAAGAGAAGCAGCAGCUCUUUCCCCUCCUUCUCCUCGAGAAGCCUGUUCUGUAGUUCUUCUGUUAGCUUGGACACAAAUUCAAAACUAUCAAGUCAAGAAAAAUGACAUUUAGGGCGAGGACGCGCUGCACUUACAUGCUCCGCCAGCCAGGAGGCGUUGUGCAGGACCGGCGUGGGGCUCUGCUUUUUGUACUGCUUCAGUUUCUCAUGAAUCUGAGAGUUUGACUUAAUUAGCACAGUGGAACCUGCCCUCAUUUUUGUAUGCAUUUGAUCUGUGUAGAGUUCAAGCAAAGCAACAGAAGUCUUUUUGCUUGCAGGAGAAGACACGCCCACCUUCAUGAGGUAGCAGAGGCUCUUCUCACUGAAGACAUCUUUGAGGAAGACCAGGUCCUCCUCAUGGUUGGCACCAGGGUGUAGCUGAGAGAUACCACAGGCAUGCUUGGCUGCGUCAUUCAAGGAAGGGAAAGGAGAGUGGCUCCAAUGGUGGUGUCCGCUGCUCCUCAAGACCAGAAUCGCAAUCUGCCUUCCUGGCUGACAUAUGGUGGCAUUAUCUCGCCUGCUUUAUUCAACAUGGCAUCUGCUGGAGAGCUGAGACACAAGCGGCAGAAGACCAGGGGAACGGACAAGUGGCCAUUAUGUGUGUUUCAAGGUCAAAUUGUAUUGGCUGGGUUGCUAUGGCGAAUGGUGAAUCAUACUACUUUGUCAAUUUCAUAGUAUAGACGUGUGUUGAGACAAAAGCAGCAUCACACUUAAGCAGCAUCACACAAAGCCGUCCAUAAACUUUGGCAAUUACGCAAUUAGGCUAAUCAAUGUCUGUCAAUCAUCGAGCUAUACAACAAAGUCAUCAUCGUGCCUGACACAAAUUGGUAAAUUGUUCCUGCACACACGCCACCUGUUUGCCAUGCUUAUUUUGCUGCGGGGUGACUCUGGGAUUGGAGUGGGGGGGGGGGGGAGUCGCCAGUACAUAGAAAAAGACCAUCUGCCCAUCCUGUGCAUACAGGGAAACUCACAAAUCGCGUGACAAUAGGAUGGAGCCUUGAAGUCAUUGCUUCUGUCAGUUGGAAUCGUUUAAUGUGAUUCUGCCUCAUUGACAUGUUAUUACAUAAACGUGUACAUGCACACGGACAUUUGGCCAACUAAUAUUCCUGUAGUGCGGGUCUUUGGAGAGAGACGGAACGGGGGCAAGGUCAUCAAUUCAGUAAUGGCCAUCUGCCGGGUGUGUGUGUGUGUGUAUACAUGUACAUUUCAAUUUUUAUCCAACGUUUCUUAAGUAAUAGCAUUUAUUUGACAUUAAAACAAAUCUUAUAGCGAUAGAGUAAGCAAAAUGUUCCAAAAAGAGGAUACAUCGGUGAAUUGUUUUUUCUGCCCCCUAGUGGAAAAGCAUGUCAUUGUUCUGCCGGUCACUAUUGGUCAGUGGCACAGACAGCUGAGCAAAUACAUUAUUUCUUGAAUAUCAGUUAGUUGAGUCAUCUACAUUUAAAGAUUAAGCCCCAUUGUCCCAGUGGUAGUUAAAGACUGGUGAGCAAAUAUCCAAUCUGUAAACACUGACAUGCAAACAAAAUAAGCCACUCUGAUGAUGCCAAAUUCCAAGUAUGGGAAAUAAAAGAGAAAAGAAUGCAGGGCUAGGCGAUGAGGAAAGCCAGAAGGCUCUUAAGAGGCUUACAAGAGGAACACGACUUCCAAACACCUUCAUGACACACAGCAGCCAGCCAGGCAGGCAGGACAGAGGCUGGAGCCAGCCAGCAGAUUGAACUCAGUUUGUGGGGCAGAUGGACGACCCGGGGUCUCUUUGGCAAGCCAUUGCACGCUGUUGGUAGGUGGCCAAACGCUCGAAGCUCCCUCUCAGUUUGUGUUUAUGGGUGCAAACGAAUGGAGCGCUCCAAAAGCUCUUAGUAAAUCAAUUAACUUCUAUUAGGAGCAUUAGCCUAAAUACAGUCAUAUCCAACGAGGUAAGCACACUAUAACUCAUAAAUAAUAACGUGGACAGUGGAGUAAAAACUUAGUGAAAGAAGCUGAUGGUUCUGUGGUGAUUGACACUCAUUUAACCCCGCCCCCUU
Molecule: long non-coding RNA, 3342 nt
Organism: Syngnathus acus (greater pipefish)
Lineage: Eukaryota; Metazoa; Chordata; Actinopteri; Syngnathiformes; Syngnathidae
Exons: 5
Source: RefSeq, a predicted model, not a curated record